Molecule: long non-coding RNA, 2697 nt
Filed under: Toxoplasma gondii VEG
Lineage: Eukaryota; Apicomplexa; Conoidasida; Eucoccidiorida; Sarcocystidae
Source: RNAcentral
CAAGUCGGCACACAAUGGAGGAAGAUUAUUUUGCUUUCUCGUCUUUUAUGGCCGUCAAAAAAACUUUGUGACGAAAAAGCAAAUUUAUUUUCCUCAACUUUGGUGGCAAGAGCUGGUUUACCGUUCGUGUACGUGUUCAUACGAUACAGAUCUUAACAUCGCAAGACGUGGGUCGGCCGGAGUCCUGAAAGCUGGAUUCCACGAGGGAAAAUGAGGCGCGUUGUUUUUAGCGAUUACGUGCUAUUCAUUUCAUUCAGAUCAGUUUAAUGUAGGAGGAGAUAUUAUCCGGAAGCUGGCAGCUAUGGAACGAUCAUGUUGAAGAGGCUCCAUGUUUUCGGGCAGAACGGAAAUCGAUUUUAGGGAAUAUAUCGCUAGCUGUCGGGGUGUCUCGAAGGUACAUUUAAGUAUGUUGAAGCACAAAAAUGUGCAUAUGCUUAAGAAGAAAGGACUUCCUUUUUCGUGAACGAUUUCUUUACGUUGUGUAGUUGGGCUCAACUGCUCUCGGCACAAUGCCAGAAGCAGUCUUCGAAUCGCUCCAGUUUAGCGGCAUGUGGCCAGUGUGAAUAGAAUUCAUUCACAUGGAGUGAACAUUUUUGAGUAGUAUGCGUUAUCGUGGGAUAUCGGCAAUCGUUAAGAAGUCACCGGGGUGGUCAAGUUAGAGAUGGCCUGUUACUUCGGUCACCAGACAGCGCUCCCGUUUCCGACCCUUGUCGCAUGUGUGAAUUAAAGUACACAAGAAUUCGAAAGAAGCUGCUGUAGCAUGCAACAUCCUAAAUUCCCAUCCUGCUGCUACUUCACUAACUAGAUGUUGAACGCUAGCAAAUGCAAACAAACCGUACAAGGGAUAAUUAUGCCCAUCUGUGCAUCUAAAUUGAUGGGAAUGAAGCCAACGUCUUGGAACAUUCGGGACUGCGUCAACCUUGCAUUAUGUGGGAUUCAAGGAUUUCAAGUAUACCACUGAGUGUCUUCGGCUCCAGACUUUUCGAGUGAUGACCCAAGUGCGAGGAGCACCUGGGGUCUUCCAACCGACACAUCAGUUCACCUCACAAUGUGGCGGAGUUCGCUUCAUCCCCCUUUUGGAAAAAGCAUGUUCCUGGCCAACGGUGAAGGAGGACUUGCGUAGUACGGGUUCGUAUGGGUGUCGUCAGUUGCAGGGUCACGACACUACUGCCAGACUCCCAUUGCUAUACUAACGGAGCGAGCAACGCACAGCGAGGUGCCUCCGAAAACCCUACCAGGACUAAUUGAAUCUAACAAUACUAUACAAGCCGCCUUCAGGUGAAACAGGUGCGACAUUGGAGGUGCUCAGGUGAAAACAAUUUUCAUGAAGUCUGUUAUGAUAUGCCCACUGGAAGGGAAUCUCAACUGAUGCAUUCAAAAUCUGAGUCUCGUGAAAAGCCACGAUUCGUGGCUGUUGACACGUUGAAAGCUAUAGCGUAGUAUUCCUACAGAAAGCAACAUGACAGAAUCUAAGGCCGUUCACGCUGACGUCGUCUCACUGCGUUUGCAGACGCCGUUGUAAGAGGGCGUUCUGAUGAUUCAACGGCUAGCAUGACUAAAGCUUCCAACUAAAUUCAGACUCCACGGAAGUUCUUGAGUCCUAUCUUUUGAAUUCUGAACGUGGAAUAUCGCAUAUGGUCAGCGUCAGUUGACUGCGAUAGGUUGCGUGAGACGCGGAAUAGGUGCGACCGACAUUUGCCUCACCACUGUAAGACCACACGCUCAAACUGCAUUCCCACUGAUACAUCGAGUCGACAUGCGCUCGGCGAGUUUCAUAUGUUUUUUUUUCCGGGCGGCAGGGUUACCAACAACGCGUCAUGCGUAACCCCACCAGCCUGGGAGUUCAAAAUUUCCGGGCGGUGGGGCCUGUCAUCUUGUAUGAUCUCUUAUUUGCAUUUUCGGCCUUCUCCAUGAUCUAAGAAACACUGAUGAUAUCUACGUUAUCGCAUACCGCAGACAAUCUCGCUCACUGCCCAGAGUUCCUUCUGGCGCUCGACGUCAUGGGCAAGGUAGUCUACCCAAUUCGUUGUUCCGUCCUUGUAGUAGGCGCCCGGCUCGAGCUCUUCUUUGUCGCUCACGCAAAGCAGGAGCUGGGUGGCAGCCCCUUGUUGUGGCAGUUUCAGCACCAAGGGUGCAAUAAGUGAGUAGAUCGCCUCAAAUAUCGGCGUGUACCAAUGUACGCUGCCUUCAGCGUAGCGGAGCAUCAACCCUGUGCCGACCAGCCCGGGGUGAGCAGCAUACGCAGUGACACGGCACUUCGGAUCUUGGGCCAGCCGGCGCUGUAGCUCUUUCGUAAACCAAAGGUUCGCCAUCUUUGUUGUGCCAUACAUUACUUUUGAGUCGUAGUUCUUUUCAGUGAUUGGCUCUCCUUGCAGCUCAUGCAGCGGUUUUCCUAGCGCGGACGCCACUCUCUCAGCUGCCUCCGGAGAUAGGGCUGCAUCGAGUGAUCGGAACUUCGGGUUGCGCGUGAUGUGCGCUGCAGAACUGAUUGUAAUGACUCGCCCGUGUGCUGCCUUCACCGCAGGAAGGAGCAAGUCAGUGAGCAAGAAUGGUCCAAGAUGAUUUGUCACAAAGUGUCGUUCGAAACCUGUAUUCUUGUCCAUGGACAACUUGUCGGUUGACAUCAGGCCAGCGUUGUUCACCAAGAUGUCGAUCUUUCCCCGGCUUUCCGCAUGAGCCCAAACAGCGAACCGUCUC